Molecule: ribosomal RNA, 371 nt
Filed under: uncultured bacterium
Lineage: Bacteria
Description: bacterial SSU rRNA
Rfam family: Bacterial small subunit ribosomal RNA
Source: RNAcentral
AAUGAACGUUGGCGGCGUGGAUUAGGCAUGCAAGUCGUGCGGAAAGGCCCUUCGGGGUGCUCGAGCGGCGAAAGGGAGAGUAACGCGUGGAUUACCUACCCCCGGGUCCGGGAUAGCUGCGGGAAACUGCAGGUAAUACCGGAUAACGUCUCAGGACCAAAGGUGAGACUCCGCCUGGGGACGGGUCCGCGUCCUAUUAGCUUGUUGGUGGGGUAACGGCCUACCAAGGCAACGAUGGGUACCGGGCGUGAGAGCGUGGCCCGGCUCACUGGGACUGAGACACUGCCCAGACACCUACGGGUGGCUGCAGUCGAGAAUCUUCGGCAAUGGGCGAAAGCCCGACCGAGCGACGCCGCGUGCGGGAUGAAGGC